RNAcentral lists this ribosomal RNA (491 nucleotides) under uncultured bacterium. RNAcentral's name for it is "partial 16S ribosomal RNA". It matches the Rfam family "Bacterial small subunit ribosomal RNA", at positions 29 to 507 of the family's 1533-position model. The record is from RNAcentral.
GUGAACGCUGGCGGUAGGCCUAACACCUGCAAGUCGAACGGCAGCACAGUAAGAGCUUGCUCUUACGGGUGGCGAGUGGCGGACGGGUGAGGAAUACAUCGGAAUCUACUUUUUCGUGGGGGAUAACGUAGGGAAACUUACGCUAAUACCGCAUACGACCUACGGGUGAAAGCAGGGGAUCUUCGGACCUUGCGCGAUUGAAUGAGCCGAUGUCGGAUUAGCUAGUUGGCGGGGUAAAGGCCCACCAAGGCGACGAUCCGUAGCUGGUCUGAGAGGAUGAUCAGCCACACUGGAACUGAGACACGGUCCAGACUCCUACGGGAGGCAGCAGUGGGGAAUAUUGGACAAUGGGCGCAAGCCUGAUCCAGCCAUACCGCGUGGGUGAAGAAGGCCUUCGGGCUGUAAAGCCCUUUUGUUGGGAAAGAAAAGCAGCAGGUUAAUACCCCGCUGUUCCGACGGUACCCAAAGAAUAAGCACCGGCUAACUUCGUG